UGAAAGGGGUCAGCAAUUUGUACAGCCUUUUACUCUUUCAUAUAUAUCUUCAGAGAUUUUGAGUGGUCAGAAAAAAAAGGCAAUGAAAAUAUGUGUUGGGAAACCAGCUAUUUUUCACCUGAUUUCACAGGGAGGUUUGGCUGGAAAAAGGCAAUGAUGGCCUGUUUUAAGCCCAUGUUUUUGUACUGGAGAUGUAGAGAAUCAUCAGGAAGGCCUUGAGAUUCAAUUUGAAGAUUCCACAUCAAGGAGAAAUGGCCAUAUUCCUAUGUUUAGGUCCUGCCGGCCAGUUUCAUCGGGGAGCUUAUUAUUCCACUGGAGGAGCAGCAGAGGCUGGCGGAGGAGGGGGAUGGAUGCUGCAGACCUUCCCCCGCCCAGGUGCAGGACUGAAAGUUUUGGGUUGUGAGCUGACUGCUCCCUAACCAGAGGGCUCAGCCAUGGGGGUGUUUUUAUCACCCCACACAACCUCCCCUCGCUCUCUGUGCCCUGGAGAGGACAAGCCUGAUGAAGACUCUUGUAAGAAGCGAGGAGAAGGUUCACCUCUGUUCUCUCAGAAUCCGAGGCACUUACAAGGGCAGAUAAAUGGAGCCUCAAGUGAGCAACUACCAGCAGCCCUUCUUCUGUUCUGCUGGGAGAAACAUUGGUCCUGUUCUUUCCUUUCCCCUCCUGUUCCCCCUCACUACACCAAAUCUGGCCCAAGAGGAACUCUGCAGCUGUCCUGGGAAAGGAGAGUGGGUUCCCCAGGACCAGACCCACCUGUCCACCCUGGCAGGCUGACAAAGGAAACUGGGAAGCACCCAGGUAGGGACACAGUCAGGUAAUGCUGCAAAAAUAAGAGAGGCAGUGAUUUGGUGCUGUGCUGCUCAAAACCCCUGGAGCUGAGAAGAAGGGCAGCUGGAAAGAAGAAAAAAAUAGAAAUUAUUUUGGUCCAAAAUGAGAUAUUUUUUUCAACUUCAUCCUUCUUAUUUUUGGUGCAUAGUUAAAAGGAAUAUGAAUUCUGUUCAAGCUUUUUCCUUCAUUUUAUGUCAACUUUAAAUCAAAUUAAUGUGAAUAUGACUAGGAUUCCAACUGAAAAGUGGAAAGCCAAAUAGCUCCUUGGAAUUGAUAAUAGUAAUGAAAAAAAGUAUUUUCAAAACAAGGACUUUAUGCUGCCAGCAUCUAAAAGAACUACUUCAAGGCUUUUGAAAUGCCUCAGUACACACAUGCACCCAUAUUUCUUAUGGGCUGCAUGCUGAGUUCAAUCAUGUUUUAAGGUCAUCUCAUCCUGUGCUUAUUGUUUGUUAAAUACAGGUGCCAAACUGAGUAGGGAAAUUACACAGACUAGUGAAUGUAGAAUGGUUCUGAGAGGAGAGAGAGUAUGCUUGGUCAUAAUACUAAAAUAUAUGUAAUUAAUUGCUGUGUUCAUUGGAGAAAUAGCAGGGAACAUAAAAUUAAUCAUCAAAUGGGGGCUACCAAGUAAAAGAAAAAAUCUUGACAUUGUCAGGAAGCUGAAUAGUUCCUACCCCAGGGGUUCAAAUCACUUGGCUGUACAUACCUGGAAGAGCUGGCAAUGCUCCAUCAGACACACAGGAGGUAAAGGAAGAAAUAACAUCCAAAAGCCAGACCAAAAGUUCAAUGCAAUCUCUGUCCAUAUUAUCAUGUGGGUCCUUUUCUUAGGAGGAUUAAAAUCCUUGUAUUUUUGCUGGUCUCAGUAAUUUUCUUUCAAUAAUGUACUGGUAUUACCUAGUGUCGGGAACAUAAGUCAAGUGACUUAAUUUUUGGCAGUUAUAAGGGCUGUAACAGAAAAUAUUACUUUUAUUUCACAUCAUUAGGUCAAAUUAAGUUUAUCAGCUGGAAUUCAUGCUGUUAACCAGGGGAUGUGAAGAGCCUCUUCAUACUGCUUCUUGGGUUUUAAAGGGAAAAAAAAAUCCUCUUUUCUCUUAAGGCUGGUGCAUGUUUCAGGGCAAUACUACUUAGACUUUUCCAUGACAUUUUUCUUGAAUGGUCCAUGGUACACUGGGGGCUGUGAAGCAAAACUAAGUGAGCCUCUUGUUUACACUUUUUCCUCUCCUUUGUCAGGUUAUUGCUCCCUUUUGGACCUAACUUUGUUUUCAUGUUUUCUCUUUCAAGUAGUCCCUUAUGAAUCCUCUUUCUCCUCACAAAUCUUCCACAGACUGCCUUGUUUUUCCCAUGUCUGUAAUAAUCAUACCUAUAAGAUAUUUUGGUGGUAAAGAGGCAGUUGCAUGGAGUAAAGAUGUGUGUAAUUAAGAGGUCAGAGCUUGCACCCUGAAAUAAAUGGCUCUCUGAUAAAUUACUUGUCUCUCAGUGAUUGCUGAGCACUGAUAGUACUGAACUGAGGAACCGCUGUUAGCAAUUUGCCUCUCUGAAACACCUGGAAAUGUGGAUGGUGAUGGGAAUGUGCUCAAAUACUACUAAGAGUUGUGGGAGCCAGUGACAAGGAAAACAAACAGAAUAAAGCCUCAUUUUUAUGACAACAGAUAACUCAUAUUUAUAAUAUCUUACUGUUAACUGAGACAGAGAUGACUAAUUGAUAUUCCACAUCACAGAAGUCUGAGGAGUGAGUUCUGUACUCAAGGUAAAAAUGACCCAUAUGAGAGAUAGAUUUUAAACAGAGCAGACAAAUAAAAGGUUUCUACAGAAAAGUGUGUUUCUCUUCUGAGGCUAAGGAGAUGAUUUGUCAAUUUACAAGGGAUUGCAUGACAUCCUGAUCAGUUCCUGUGAUGGGCUUUAAGGGAAAAUGCCAAAAGAGAGACUUCAGGAAACCAGAAUUAACCUUUAAGAAACUGUGGGGUUUUGACAGGGAAAAGCAAUCACAAGGGCAGAACUGAGAGGACAACAAUGUUCUGAUGUUGGGGCAAUUGCAAAAGCCCAGAAAGGAUAUGUGAGGGAAAAGGGAAGUAAAACUAAAAGUCUUGACUUCACAAAAAUAUCAUGCAGAGCUGUCUGGACUGAGACAAGGAACAAAAAGCCACACACUCUGGGAAGCAUCCAAACAUUCUUCUGUGUUACCUUGACUUCCACAAAUUUGCAAAGACUGGCUAACCAUGAGCAAUUUGGUUAAGAGGACAUCAGCAGCACCAUUUAUGAAAAGCAAAACUUCACAAGAGCAAUGGACAAGAUGUCAGUAGAAGAUAAAUGAGUUCUUACUCAGAAAGUAAAUGUAACUUUUAUUAGUUUUAGGUGUACAAGCCAGUGUUUUGUCAGAGAUGGUGAUAGUCACAAGGACAGAAAAGCCCAGGUAAGACAAGUGGAUGAAAUUCAAGUUUGUAGUUGUGGUCUUAUUGCCAUGAAGGGAGUGAGUGAAGUAAAUGUAUACAGAAAUUCCAUACUGCAAAAAUACAAUUUGUAAUAAUACCAGGGACAAAAGCAUCCUUCACUGAUUUUAAAAUAUAUCAAGUUCUUCAUCUUAUGUGGUGGUGUCUCACCUCAGAAGAAAAGGUGACAAACUGUUAAGAAGAAGUUUAGGACACUUUCCCAGUGGAGAGGAAAGCAUUCAGCAGAAUACAAAAUACAUCUGAAAGCCAAACUGUUCAUUGUCCAAUGGAAAAGCAAAGAAAGGAGCUGGCUAAGAUUAUUACUGUAGAGAAAAAAGAGAACAAGGAACAGAAGAAACAGAGCACACCAUUCACUUUCUGGGGGAAAAAAACCCCAAGAAAUUCUCUAAGCAAUAGGAUGAAGAAACCUCAUAAAUUACGUGUCUUGAUUAAAUGCGGGGGGUUCAAC
Molecule: long non-coding RNA, 3720 nt
Organism: Parus major (Great Tit)
Lineage: Eukaryota; Metazoa; Chordata; Aves; Passeriformes; Paridae
Exons: 4
Source: RefSeq, a predicted model, not a curated record